GUUACCGUCAAAGCUGCUCGCGCUGUCACGGGAAGAUGCGCUCGCACGUCACCCCGCCGAAGCUUCACUAAAUGAAACUACAGCAGCACUUUGCACUUACAAGCCAUGCAUAAAACAAUGCUUCUCAUGUUUACUUUACAACUAAAUGGGCCAAAGCACGACGCAAAUAAGGUCAACGAGAAGAAAACGGGAACAUGGAUAGAAGCAUGAAGAAGACAUAGAAGAUAGCGAGCCUCUGACCUCGCGGCAACAGUUUGGGCGCGGCGCUUUCUUUUUCUCAACAGGUCCCUGUGCACAUAGCCCGCGUUGGGGUAAGAAACCCGGACUGACCCGUGCCGAGCUCAGACCUGCACUCCUUCCAGCACCUCUGGGUUGCCCAUCGGCUGUGAGGACGUGUCUCCCAAAAUCAGUAACCCACCUCACUGUUGCUCCUGCAGCCGGGUUCCAAGUCUCAUCUAGUGAAAAAAGCUUUUCAAGAAGAGCGUACCAAGGAGAUUACCAUCUGUGGACGAGACGCGGGCGCCAUGGUGAUGUCCCUGCAAAUAAGCAGACGCAAAAACACGCCACCUACAGAGCAGACGAGGGCGAGGACACGGAGAGAGAGAGAGAGAGAGAGAGAAAGACACAAAUGAAGAAACAUUUUAUUAUGCAAGAUCAAAAUGAUAUCAAAUGGCGUAGAGAUAAUAACAUCCGGAGCAGCUGAGUCCACAAGCCUGCCGAGUGAGGCCAGCGGUGGUUUGUUAUCGCUCGUGGCACAUGAGACAGUUCAAGGCUCAGUGCGGUGACGCCAAGACGCACGUCACAUGUGUCCGUGCGGAGCUGCAGAGGUCACUUCAUCAGAUCCCAUCCGGAUGGUAGAAGGUGUCAUGGUACUAGAUGGGGAAACAUGCAGUAAGCUUUUCAUCAGAUAUCAGCUUACCCGCAGUGCGCAGCUGCAUCAAAAAGUAAGGCGCGCGAAAAUGCAAUUACACUCCAAAUACAUUGAGAGAUGACGAGGACACGACAGCGUCAUGUCACCUCUGAGGACGUGCUGAGGGAUGUUCAUGGCAGCUUAAUGACCCAAUGGGCUUCUCAUGUUAGUUUUUAGCUGCAUGGAGAAUAUUAACUGUGUCCUCAAUGGUAUUUUUAAACCUGUUUUCUUCAUGUUCACAC
Long non-coding RNA from Gasterosteus aculeatus aculeatus (three-spined stickleback), 1152 nucleotides. NCBI's taxonomy places the organism in Eukaryota, Metazoa, Chordata, Actinopteri, Perciformes, Gasterosteidae. The record is from Ensembl.